This 265-nucleotide ribosomal RNA is filed under the name uncultured bacterium. Its description in RNAcentral is "partial 16S ribosomal RNA". It matches the Rfam family "Bacterial small subunit ribosomal RNA", at positions 524 to 776 of the family's 1533-position model. The record is from RNAcentral.
UACGGAGGGUGCGAGCGUUAUUCGGAAUUACUGGGCGUAAAGCGCGUGCAGGCGGCUCUGCCAGUCUGAUGUGAAAGCCCCGGGCUCAACCCGGGAAGUGCAUUGGAAACUGCAGGGCAAACUGCAAGACUUGAGGUCGGUAGAGGCGCCUGGAACUCUAGGUGGAGCGGUGAAAUGCGUAGAUAUCUAGGGGAACUCCGGAGGCGAAAGCGGGGCGCUGGGCCGAUUCUGACGCUGAUGCGCGAAAGCGUGGGGAGCAAACAGG